This 468-nucleotide ribosomal RNA is filed under the name uncultured bacterium. Its description in RNAcentral is "partial 16S ribosomal RNA". It matches the Rfam family "Bacterial small subunit ribosomal RNA", at positions 28 to 507 of the family's 1533-position model. The record is from RNAcentral.
GACGAACGCUGGCGGCGUGCUUAACACAUGCAAGUCGAACGGAAAGGCCCUGCUUUUGUGGGGUGCUCGAGUGGCGAACGGGUGAGUAACACGUGAGUAACCUGCCCUUGACUUUGGGAUAACUUCAGGAAACUGGGGCUAAUACCGGAUAGGAGCUCCUGCUGCAUGGUGGGGGUUGGAAAGUUUCGGCGGUUGGGGAUGGACUCGCGGCUUAUCAGCUUGUUGGUGGGGUAGUGGCUUACCAAGGCUUUGACGGGUAGCCGGCCUGAGAGGGUGACCGGCCACAUUGGGACUGAGAUACGGCCCAGACUCCUACGGGAGGAAGCAGUGGGGAAUAUUGCACAAUGGGCGGAAGCAUGAUGCAGCAACGCCGCGUGAGGGAUGACGGCCUUCGGGUUGUAAACCGCUUUCGCCUGUGACGAAGCGUGAGUGACGGUAAUGGGUAAAGAAGCACCGGCUAACUACGUG